CCUACGGGAGGCAGCAGUGGGGAAUAUUGCGCAAUGGGGGAAACCCUGACGCAGCGACGCCGCGUGGGUGAUGAAGGCCUUCGGGUCGUAAAGCCCUGUCGGAGGGGAAGCGGUACCCUUAGAGGAAGCACCGGCUAACUCCGUGCCAGCAGCCGCGGUAAUACGGAGGGUGCAAGCGUUGCUCGGAAUUACUGGGCGUAAAGGGCGUGUAGGCGGUUUCGUAUGUCUGGCGUGAAAGCCCCGGGCUCACCUCGGGAAGUGCGUCGGAAACUGCGAGACUAGAAUCCCGGAGAGGGAGGUGGAAUUCCAGGUGUAGCGGUGAAAUGCGUAGAUAUCUGGAAGAACACCGGUGGCGAAGGCGGCCUCCUGGACGUAUUGACGCUGAGACGCGAAAGCGUGGGGAGCAAACAGGAUUAGAUACCCUUGUAGUC
RNAcentral lists this ribosomal RNA (431 nucleotides) under uncultured bacterium. RNAcentral's name for it is "partial 16S ribosomal RNA". It matches the Rfam family "Bacterial small subunit ribosomal RNA", at positions 338 to 795 of the family's 1533-position model. The record is from RNAcentral.